This 482-nucleotide ribosomal RNA is filed under the name uncultured bacterium. Its description in RNAcentral is "partial 16S ribosomal RNA". It matches the Rfam family "Bacterial small subunit ribosomal RNA", at positions 30 to 507 of the family's 1533-position model. The record is from RNAcentral.
AUUGAACGCUGGCGGCAUGCCUUACACAUGCAAGUCGAACGGUAACGGGCCUUCGGGUGCCGACGAGUGGCGAACGGGUGAGUAAUACAUCGGAACGUGCCCGAUCGUGGGGGAUAACGAGGCGAAAGCUUUGCUAAUACCGCAUACGAUCUACGGAUGAAAGCAGGGGACCGCAAGGCCUUGCGCGGACGGAGCGGCCGAUGGCAGAUUAGGUAGUUGGUGGGAUAAAAGCUUACCAAGCCGACGAUCUGUAGCUGGUCUGAGAGGAUGAUCAGCCACACUGGGACUGAGACACGGCCCAGACUCCUACGGGAGGCAGCAGCGGGGAAUUUUGGACAAAGGGCGCAAGCCUGAUCCAGCCAUGCCGCGUGCAGGAUGAAGGCCUUCGGGUUGUAAAAUGCUUUUGUACGGAACGAAAAGCCUUCUUUUAAUACAGGAGGGUCAUGACGGUACCGUAAGAAUAAGCACCGGCUAACUACGUG